RNAcentral lists this ribosomal RNA (460 nucleotides) under uncultured bacterium. RNAcentral's name for it is "partial 16S ribosomal RNA". It matches the Rfam family "Bacterial small subunit ribosomal RNA", at positions 338 to 795 of the family's 1533-position model. The record is from RNAcentral.
CCUACGGGUGGCAGCAGUGAGGAAUAUUGGUCAAUGGACGAGAGUCUGAACCAGCCAAGUAGCGUGAAGGAUGACUGCCCUAUGGGUUGUAAACUUCUUUUAUAUGGGAAUAAAAUGUUCCACGUGUGGGAUUUUGUAUGUACCAUAUGAAUAAGGAUCGGCUAACUCCGUGCCAGCAGCCGCGGUAAUACGGAGGAUCCGAGCGUUAUCCGGAUUUAUUGGGUUUAAAGGGUGCGUAGGUGGAUUGUUAAGUCAGUUGUGAAAGUUUGCGGCUCAACCGUAAAAUUGCAGUUGAAACUGGCAGUCUUGAGUACAGUAGAGGUGGGCGGAAUGCGUGGUGUAGCGGUGAAAUGCUUAGAUAUCACGAAGAACUCCGAUUGCGAAGGCAGUUCACUGGACUGCAACUGACACUGAGGCUCGAAAGUGUGGGUAUCAAACAGGAUUAGAUACCCUUGUAGUC